RNAcentral lists this ribosomal RNA (486 nucleotides) under uncultured bacterium. Its description in RNAcentral is "bacterial SSU rRNA". It matches the Rfam family "Bacterial small subunit ribosomal RNA", at positions 501 to 988 of the family's 1533-position model. The record is from RNAcentral.
CUACGUGCCAGCAGCCGCGGUAAUACGUAGGUCCCGAGCGUUGUCCGGAUUUAUUGGGCGUAAAGCGAGCGCAGGCGGUUAGAUAAGUCUGAAGUUAAAGGCUGUGGCUUAACCAUAGCACGCUUUGGAAACUGUUUAACUUGAGUGCAAGAGGGGAGAGUGGAAUUCCAUGUGUAGCGGUGAAAUGCGUAGAUAUAUGGAGGAACACCGGUGGCGAAAGCGGCUCUCUGGCUUGUAACUGACGCUGAGGCUCGAAAGCGUGGGGAGCAAACAGGAUUAGAUACCCUGGUAGUCCACGCCGUAAACGAUGAGCACUAGGUGUCGGGAUCGCAAGAUUUCGGUGCCGCAGUUAACGCAUUAAGUGCUCCGCCUGGGGAGUACGUACGCAAGUAUAAAACUCAAAGGAAUUGACGGGGACCCGCACAAGCAGCGGAGCAUGUGGUUUAAUUCGAAGCAACGCGAAGAACCUUACCAGAGCUUGACAUC